RNAcentral lists this ribosomal RNA (497 nucleotides) under uncultured bacterium. Its description in RNAcentral is "partial 16S ribosomal RNA". It matches the Rfam family "Bacterial small subunit ribosomal RNA", at positions 28 to 507 of the family's 1533-position model. The record is from RNAcentral.
GAUGAACGCUGGCGGCGUGCCUAAUACAUGCAAGUCGGGCGAACGGACGAGAAGCUUGCUUCUCUGAUGUUAGCGGCGGACGGGUGAGUAACACGUGGAUAACCUACCUAUAAGACUGGGAUAACUUCGGGAAACCGGAGCUAAUACCGGAUAAUAUUUUGAACCGCAUGGUUCAAAAGUGAAAGACGGUCUUGCUGUCACUUAUAGAUGGAUCCGUGCUGCAUUAGCUAGUUGGUAAGGUAACGGCUUACCAAGGCAACGAUGCAUAGCCGACCUGAGAGGGUGAUCGGCCACACUGGAACUGAGACACGGUCCAGACUCCUACGGGAGGCAGCAGUAGGGAAUCUUCCGCAAUGGGCGAAAGCCUGACGGAGCAACGCCGCGUGAGUGAUGAAGGUCUUCGGAUCGUAAAACUCUGUUAUUAGGGAAGAACAUAUGUGUAAGUAACUGUGCACAUCUUGACGGUACCUAAUCAGAAAGCCACGGCUAACUACGUG